GUGCGAGUACUUUGUACGAGCGAGCCGGAAUUGGUUUAAGCCCAUUAUAUGUGUACGUGUACGUGCACCAAGAGACGUUAAAGAGCCCCCCGUUCAUAGGUUCUAUGAAGCUUUCGAACCUGAUCUACUUUUCUACCUGAAAAUACUUUCGGUAACAAGGACGUACAAGUGGCAAAGAUUAAAAGAGAUUAAAAAUCGAGGAACAGGGGCUGCUGUGGAACGAAUGAAAUUGAGCUAUGACAAUACAAAUGCUUAGCAUAAUGUACCAUUAUUGCGACUUUGAUAUCUAAAUUAUUAGCGUAAAUGUAUGCCAUAACAGCUAAAGUGAUACGAUCGUCACUGAAUAAAGCAUCAUGAGAUACGAUGUUAAUAUUUGUCGCGUUGGCCAUGAGUUGCAAUAGCCGAAUAUUAAAUUGAUAGGCUAAUUUGCAACGAAUCUAGGUAGAUGCAUAUUAUAAUAUGAUAUAUGUCAUUUGCUAUUGUGUAUUAUCUCAUGCCCAUAAUAUCAUUUCACGAAGAUAUUCAGAAAGAAUAAAAGAUAUAAAAUGCGUCUUCCUCAUAUUUAGAAUUUUAAUGCCUAAAAGUCAUAAGUAGGUGGGACGAGGAGUUGGUUGAUUUGAAUAGGAAAAUUCGAUGCAUUUGGAAAUCUAAUCACGUGGUACCACGGUGAGCUGCACCCUCGCAAUGUUCAAUCUACGUUGUUCAUUACUGGAGGGAUUACAAAUCCAAAGUGCGUGUACAUGAGACUAGACGAGGCACGUGUACCGGCAAGUAGGUGCGCGUUCCCAAAGUCAAGAGUGGUGGAAGCCAAUGUCGCAUUAUCGUAUGGAAGACAGUGCAUAAAGUGAAGCAAGAGCGUUCGUCAACGGUGCAAUAUACAUGGUCGAACGAACAGUGUACACGAUCAAUGAAACCUAUGGUUACGCGUGGGAUCACGUAUGUUGUCCCGUCGUGCUACAACCAGAAAGCAAAGGGGGAAAGGGUGACGACGUUUACUGGUCGCAUCGAAUUACAAGUCCCUUAGGUAAUGAUGAAACAAUAUCUUUUCUCUGCGCGAAUGCGUUUACUGACAUUUUGAAGCUGACAUGGAUCGCCGGAUAGAGACAGAUCACCGGAUGCGGAUAAUCGUGUUCUGCGUUGAUAUGGAAGUUAAUGGACAAGCCCGGGAAAACAAAAC
Long non-coding RNA from Bombus terrestris (buff-tailed bumblebee), 1177 nucleotides. RefSeq lists it as uncharacterized. Lineage: Eukaryota; Metazoa; Arthropoda; Insecta; Hymenoptera; Apidae. The transcript has 2 exons. The record is from RefSeq and is a predicted model, not a curated record.